GUCUCUUUGGGGACAUCCGAUAAAAUUGAAACGAUACAGAAAAGAUUAGCAUGGCACCUGCGCAAGGAUGACACGCACAAAUCGAGAAAUGGUUCAAUUUUUU
This 103-nucleotide small nuclear RNA is filed under the name Triticum dicoccoides. Lineage: Eukaryota; Viridiplantae; Streptophyta; Magnoliopsida; Poales; Poaceae. The record is from RNAcentral.